RNAcentral lists this transfer RNA (75 nucleotides) under Nitrososphaerota archaeon. RNAcentral describes it as "Thaumarchaeota archaeon tRNA-Gly". It matches the Rfam family "tRNA". From Rfam's summary of the family: Transfer RNA (tRNA) molecules are approximately 80 nucleotides in length. The record is from RNAcentral. RNAcentral also lists the same sequence under 2 other names. Lineage: Archaea; Thermoproteati; Nitrososphaerota.
GCGGUGGUCGUCUAGCCUGGUCUAGGACGGCAGCCUGCCACGCUGUCGACCCGGGUUCAAAUCCCGGCCACCGCA